UACGUAGGGUGCAAGCGUUAAUCGGAAUUACUGGGCGUAAAGCGUGCGCAGGCGGCUAUGCAAGACGGAUGUGAAAUCCCCGGGCUCAACCUGGGAACUGCAUUUGUGACUGCAUAGCUAGAGUACGGUAGAGGGGGAUGGAAUUCCGGCGUGUAGCAGUGAAAUGCGUAGAUAUGCGGAGGAACACCGAUGGCGAAGGCAAUCCCCUGGACCUGUACUGACGCUCAUGCACCGAAAGCGUGGGGA
RNAcentral lists this ribosomal RNA (246 nucleotides) under uncultured bacterium. RNAcentral's name for it is "partial 16S ribosomal RNA". It matches the Rfam family "Bacterial small subunit ribosomal RNA", at positions 524 to 767 of the family's 1533-position model. The record is from RNAcentral.